UGGUGAGUAAACCUGGAUUAUGGUUGUUUUUUGAAAUUUUGUGUCAAACCUGGCAGUGAUUAUUCUAGAUGACACAGGAUUCCAUUCUAAGAUAGACUGCUUUUCCUUUUUAGUAAUCACGAAUCCAACACCUUUAUCAUGAGUGUCAGUGGCGUUUGUGUUACCAGAGUAGAUGAUGGUAUGACCAGUUUUUAACGUUUUCACUCCAGAUAUAUUCCAACUUACUUCACUGAGUCCUAACAUUUCAAUACUGUAUCUGUCCAUUUCUUUGGAUUUCUGCAAACUUUUUCAAUUUUG
This 297-nucleotide long non-coding RNA is filed under the name Mytilus galloprovincialis (Mediterranean mussel). Lineage: Eukaryota; Metazoa; Mollusca; Bivalvia; Mytilida; Mytilidae. The record is from RNAcentral.